CCUACGGGGGGCAGCAGUGGGGGAUAUUGCACAAUGGGGGGAACCCUGAUGCAGCGACGCCGCGUGGGUGAAGAAGCGCCUCGGCGCGUAAAGCCCUGUCAGCAGGGAAGAAAAUGACGGUACCUGAAGAAGAAGCCCCGGCUAACUACGUGCCAGCAGCCGCGGUAAUACGUAGGGGGCAAGCGUUAUCCGGAUUUACUGGGGGUAAAGGGGGCGCAGACGGCGAUGCAAGCCAGGAGUGAAAGUCCAUGGCUUAACCAUGGUACUGCUCUGGAAACUGUGGAGCUUGAGUGCGGGAGGGGCAGGCGGAAUUCCUAGUGUAGCGGUGAAAUGCGUAGAUAUUAGGAGGAACACCGGCGGCGAAGGCGGCCUGUUGGACCGUAACUGACGUUGAGGCUCGAAAGCGUGGGGAGCAAACAGGAUUAGAUACCCCUGUAGUC
RNAcentral lists this ribosomal RNA (440 nucleotides) under uncultured bacterium. RNAcentral's name for it is "partial 16S ribosomal RNA". It matches the Rfam family "Bacterial small subunit ribosomal RNA", at positions 338 to 795 of the family's 1533-position model. The record is from RNAcentral.